UAUUCUGCCCCACGGGGAAGGAUGAGAAGCUUCGACUAAGGUUCGACUCGAGCGAAGCGAGAGAACGUUGCCGCAGGCAACGGCCCGAAGGCGAGGCGCUUUAGCGCCGAGUAAUUCUUCCCCCACCACUG
This 131-nucleotide small RNA is filed under the name Klebsiella pneumoniae. RNAcentral's name for it is "RtT sRNA". It matches the Rfam family "RtT RNA". Rfam says of the family: This family represents a bacterial cis-regulatory element known as RtT RNA. The exact function of RtT is unknown although it is thought that it may be involved in changing the cellular response in relation to amino acid starvation. Lineage: Bacteria; Pseudomonadati; Pseudomonadota; Gammaproteobacteria; Enterobacterales; Enterobacteriaceae. The record is from RNAcentral.